GCGGGAGAAUCACUUGAACCCGGGAGGCGGAGGUUGCGGUGAGCCGGCAUCGUGCCACUGCAGUCCAGCCUGGGCGACAGAGCGAGACUCCAUCUCAAAAAAAUAAGUAAAAAUAAAAUAAAAAGCGAGAACGGGGAGGGAAGAGUAGAGAGGAAGAUCCCGGAGCUUCCUUGGGGGGUGAGGAAGGUGGGAGCCACGACGGUUGUAGAGGGAGAGCAGCUCCUCCCUUCACCCACCUGAGCCCGGGUCUCCUGUGUGGCCACAGCCUCUGCAGCCCACAGGGCCCCACGUUGUGAGGUUCACACACCUGCAGCUGCUCAGAAGUGCAAACCCACCCCCUGCAUGACGUGCUCUGGAUAUCAGUCGGCCUUCGCACCGCAGCCCUGGGUGGUUGAUCGAACGCUAAAGCUCCAGACCUGGAGAUGCCCCAGAGGAAGCGCCUGGCAGCAAUUAACCAUCCGAGCACCCCAGGUGGCGUGGACUCACGCGGCUCUUCAACCAAAUACCUGCUUCUGGAGUUGCCCUGACUGGCCGUCUGAAAUUCAUGAUAAAAAAUGGAUGAAGGCCUGGUUUUCACAUUGUGGCCGAUGAAUGCUGUCCCAGUCUUGUUCUCCUGUCCGUUUACCGCUGAUGCGUAACAUGGGCAGAACCUAAAAUUCACCUUUGCGACAUUUUUGUUUGUUUGUUUGUUUCUUUUGUUUUUGAGACGGAGUCUAGCUCUG
RNAcentral lists this long non-coding RNA (722 nucleotides) under Macaca fascicularis (crab-eating macaque). RNAcentral describes it as "lncRNA (ENSMFAG00000060132.1)". The record is from RNAcentral. Lineage: Eukaryota; Metazoa; Chordata; Mammalia; Primates; Cercopithecidae.